RNAcentral lists this ribosomal RNA (491 nucleotides) under uncultured bacterium. RNAcentral's name for it is "partial 16S ribosomal RNA". It matches the Rfam family "Bacterial small subunit ribosomal RNA", at positions 28 to 501 of the family's 1533-position model. The record is from RNAcentral.
GAUGAACGCUGGCGGCGUGCCUAAUACAUGCAAGUCGAGCGAACAGAUGAGGAGCUUGCUCCUCUGACGUUAGCGGCGGACGGGUGAGUAACACGUGGAUAACCUACCUAUAAGACUGGGAUAACUUCGGGAAACCGGAGCUAAUACCGGAUAAUAUAUUGAACCGCAUGGUUCAAUAGUGAAAGACGGUUUUGCUGUCACUUAUAGAUGGAUCCGCGCCGCAUUAGCUAGUUGGUAAGGUAACGGCUUACCAAGGCAACGAUGCGUAGCCGACCUGAGAGGGUGAUCGGCCACACUGGAACUGAGACACGGUCCAGAAUCCUACGGGAGGCAGCAGUAGGGAAUCUGCCGCAAUGGGCGAAAGCCUGACGGAGCAACGCCGCGUGAGUGAUGAAGGUCUUCGGAUCGUAAAACUCUGUUAUUAGGGAAGAACAAAUGUGUAAGUAACUAUGCACGUCUUGACGGUACCUAAUCAGAAAGCCACGGCUAAC